RNAcentral lists this unclassified non-coding RNA (400 nucleotides) under soil metagenome. RNAcentral's name for it is "partial contains 5.8S ribosomal RNA, internal transcribed spacer 2, and large subunit ribosomal RNA". The stretch from base 1 to 122 matches the Rfam family "5.8S ribosomal RNA", at positions 35 to 154 of the family's 154-position model. The record is from RNAcentral.
GAUGAAGAACGUAGCGAAAUGCGAUACUUGGUGUGAAUUGCAGAAUCCCGUGAACCAUCGAGUUUUUGAACGCAAGUUGCGCCCGAAGCCGUUAGGCCGAGGGCACGCCUGCCUGGGCGUCACAUAUCGUUGCCUGAUGCCAGUUUCCUCGUGAUGGGUGACUGUGCAGGGCGAAUGAUGGCUUCCCGUGAGCAUUGUUGCCUCAUGGUUGGUUGAAAAUUGAGUCCUUGGUAGGGAGCGCCGUGAUAGAUGGUGGUUGAGUGACGAACGAGACCCAAUCAUGUGAGACCCCUACCGAAUUUGGCCUUCAUGACCCACAUGCGUCUUUGGAACGCUCAUGACGAGACCUCAGGUCAGGCGGGGCUACCCGCUGAGUUUAAGCAUAUCAAUAAGCGGAGGA